Molecule: long non-coding RNA, 1353 nt
Organism: Astatotilapia calliptera (eastern happy)
Lineage: Eukaryota; Metazoa; Chordata; Actinopteri; Cichliformes; Cichlidae
Source: Ensembl
GUUUAUUUGCGUUACUUUCCAUUUUUUAAUAUUAUCAUAUAAAAUAUGUUAUAAAACAGGGCUGUAAAAAUAAAUGUUCUUGUACAUUUCACUAUGAUAAUAUAUGAGGUCGUCUCCUGAAAUGGUUUCCAACAGUCUUGAAGGAGUUCCCAGAGAUGCUGAGCACUUGUUGGUCCUUUGCCUUCACUCUGCGCUCCAUCUCAUCCCAAACCAUCCCUGGUUUUAGGUCAGGUGACUGUGGAGGCCAGGCCAUCUGGUGCAGCACUACAUCACUCUCCUUCAAAUAGCCGUGACACUGCCUGGAGGUACAUUUCUGUCAUGGUGCUGGGUCUUUUUCCGAGUACUUUGAGAUUUUGUUCUGGACUUUUUAUUUGUUCCUUUGUAUUUGAGAAAUGUUCACAUUCAAGGUCUGAUUAGUUGUUCUUGAGUUUAGUAUUCUGUAAUGCUUCUAAGUUUGUUAUUGUUAGUUCCCUUAGUUCUCUGUCUUGUCAUCAGCAUCUCCUGUGAAGGUCAGUCUUGUCUCCCCGUCCACUCCCCGUGUCUGUCUGGCCUCUCCGUGUCCCGUCUCUGCGGUUGUCUGGUUCCCUGUCUUGUCUCAUUAAUACGUAUUUAGUUCUGGUUCCUGUGUUGAUCCCGUGUUGAUCCCGUAAUAAUCUCUCUGUGUUUUGUCCUUUUGUCUCUCCGGUCAGUCAUGCCUACCUGUCUGUUUGUCUCCGAUACCUGUAUCAAGUUCAUGUGUCUUAGUCUGGGCCUUGGUGUGUGCACUACUUACAGUUUUAUUUUAAUACUUCCUCGCCUCGUGUUUAGUUUUGCUUCAACUGUCUUAUGAAUCUGUCCAGCUGUGCUCCAGGUGUGUCCACUCUGCAUCUCACUGUGGUCUGAAUCACCUCCUCACUGAUGGGACUGUUCCUACCCACCUCAAUUAUUGGUUUUGCUUUUCCUCCUUAAAAGCGUUAAUAAAGCUGUGACUCUGUCAUUUAAACUUGAAUAAAAUGAAAUUAACCUGCUUUAUAGUUUGAGUUGCAGAGUGAGGGGGCAGUCUGCAGUUGGCUGCUGUUUCUGCCUCUUUCAUACUGGACUGACCCAGUAUGAAAGAGGCUGAAAGUGUCGCUGUCUUGUUCUAGGGCAGCACGUGGCACUGACAGGCAACACACACACACACACACAUUAACUUGCAUCAAAGCUGAGAUGUGCCUUCUGUUCAUCCUAAUCUGCUCUAUCCAAAUCUGUCUGAGUCACUCCUCUGUCUGACUGGAAAGUGGAAAUCAAAUAUACAGUUUUAAACUCAUAAAAACAAUAAUGCCAGUUAUUUCCAUGUGAUUGAAGUGCAUUCUUCUAGAUUCGAUUCAGGGG